UUCUCACAUCACAAUCUAUGUGUGGAGUUCACUUCACUGACGGAAGGAAGUGGAAAAUAUGUCUUUGUCUUAUAUUCUUCUCAUUUAUGUUGCUGGUGUUGCGGUAAAAGGAAGUUGUGCAGAUUCAGUUCCCACUCCCACUAUUGUAUUUUCCCCUGGGUACAUCAAUGUAGCUACACCUGUUACAGUACACUGUGAGUCACCAGAAGGCACAGAGUGCAAUUUCUACAGAGAUCAUGACCCCAAACCUAUAAGAAAAGUGGAUUACAAGCAGGGUGCUUGCCAGUUCAAGUUGUUAUGGAAUGAGUUCAAAAAGUGGAACAAGACUGAAGUAGACCUCAGCUGUGUAAUUCUACAGAACAGACAAGGUGAAACGAUCAAAACCUCUAAACCUAGUGAUGCUCGAAGACUUAAUG
Molecule: long non-coding RNA, 416 nt
Organism: Salvelinus fontinalis (brook trout)
Lineage: Eukaryota; Metazoa; Chordata; Actinopteri; Salmoniformes; Salmonidae
Exons: 3
Source: RefSeq, a predicted model, not a curated record